GUCUACAGCCAAACCACCCUGAACACGCCCGAUCUCAGAAACUAAAUAGGGUCGGGCCUGGUUAGUACUUGGAUGGGAGAGUGAGAAUAUUGGCUGCCUUUGGUG
RNAcentral lists this ribosomal RNA (105 nucleotides) under Microcebus murinus (gray mouse lemur). Lineage: Eukaryota; Metazoa; Chordata; Mammalia; Primates; Cheirogaleidae. The record is from RNAcentral.